CUUAUUUUAACCAACUAAGUUUCUAAGUAGAAAUGUUGCAAACAUUUUUGAUAUCAGCAAAAUAAACAAAUGAAGUAUAUAAAAUAAAAAUUCAAGAAAAUGAAUGGGGAAAAUAUUCUUACCUGUCAGGCACUAUUGUUAUAUUUUAAGUAUAAAAAAUUUUGUAACCUGGUCCCAGUCCCUGAACUCUGUGAUAAUUCACUGUGGUAAAAAAACAGCAGCAAAACAAGGAAAGCAUUUAUAAGACAGAAGCAGCUAAUGCGGUAUUAAAAAUGAAUAGUCAUAAAGACCUGAAAACAGAAAACUGUUCACAUAAGUGAUUGAGUCACCUAAAGUGAGAUGUGUUUGAGGCAAUUCCUCUGGGGCACUCUAAAUUCCUUCAAAUAUAUGUAACAUUUAAAUAUUCCAUUAACUCUCUAAAUAGCUGGUUCCUAUUUCCCAAGACUUAAUAAAGCUUUUUGUGAUGACUUUCAAAUUUUGCACACUGGAUUCAUCUUGUAUUGAAGUUGGGCUCCAACACAUUGAAUUCCAUCACACUUAUCAUAAUUGCUUCUUUUAAUAAAUUUCUAGGAGCUCCUUUUUUAAUUCUCUUCAUAGACUAAAGAGUAUGCGUCACUCUGUAAGUAGAGGCACCCACAUACUAUUCAUUGAUUCAACAAAUUAAUUCAACAAAUAUGUAUUGAGUGCCAACUGUGCUAGGCUUUGAAGCAACAUUUAGGUCCUUAUUCAAGGUAUUAUACAAGGGUUCCCAGAUCUUAGGAAAUGAGCAGAAUUUACUAUCCCAUUAUUUUGCUAUGAUUUCAUUAUGAGUUGUGUGACAUUGAGUAAUUCUUGAUACUAAGCUUUAUUAUCAAUAUAACAACUUGGAGGAGUUGAAUAAGAGUAGUGUUUUUGAAUAAUGGACAGCCAUCUAAUCAAGGGUCAUAUAGUCACUUUAAGGAGAGAUGAUCAGUGUUUUUAAAUAGAAUAGAGUCAAAAAUGGCA
This 984-nucleotide long non-coding RNA is filed under the name Homo sapiens (human). RNAcentral describes it as "HSALNT0284096". The record is from RNAcentral. Lineage: Eukaryota; Metazoa; Chordata; Mammalia; Primates; Hominidae.